AUUGAACGCUGGCGGCGGGCUUAACACAUGCAAGUCGAGCGGGGCGGCGAACGGGUGAGUAAUGCCUAGGAAUCUGCAUGCUUGAGGGAGAUACCGUCCGGAAACGGGCGCUAAUGCAGCAUCCUAUCAGAUGCGACUAGGUAGGAUUAGCGAGUUGGUGGGGUAAAGGCCUACCAAGGCGACGAUCCGUAACUGGUCUGAGAGGAGGAUCAGGCACACUGUAACGGAGACACGGUCCAGACUUCUACGGGGGGCAGCAGUGGGGAAUAUGAGACAAUGGGGCAAAGUCGGAUCCAGCCAUGCCGCGUGUGUGAAGAAGGACUUCGGAUUGUAAAGCACUUUAGGUUGGGAGGCGGUACCAACAGAAUAAGCACCGGCUAACUACGUGCCAGCAGCCGCGGUAAUAC
RNAcentral lists this ribosomal RNA (407 nucleotides) under uncultured bacterium. Its description in RNAcentral is "partial 16S ribosomal RNA". It matches the Rfam family "Bacterial small subunit ribosomal RNA", at positions 29 to 526 of the family's 1533-position model. The record is from RNAcentral.